RNAcentral lists this unclassified non-coding RNA (3818 nucleotides) under Hevea brasiliensis (rubber tree). The record is from RNAcentral. Lineage: Eukaryota; Viridiplantae; Streptophyta; Magnoliopsida; Malpighiales; Euphorbiaceae.
UUUUAGUUUUAUGUACCCUUACUUUAAAAAUUCAUACUUAAUCCUUACUUUACGUCCAAAAUCUUGCUCACAAACAAAGUUCACUAAUAUGGUAUGCCACCUUUAUUUUUGUAAUUAAAAUUUUCAGCACAAGGUAGUGCUAAUCCACUCAUUGAAGCCCAAAGGGCUUUUGCAUGAAGGGGUGUAAUAGGGAAUGCAUCGUAGAAUGAAACCAACUCUUAAAGCUUUGGCAUGAAGGGCAUGUUACGGAGCAUGUUAUAUCACGACUUUUAUUGUUAGAAUUUUAAGUUUAUAGGUUGGGAUGUACUUUAAUAACUAUGUUAUUAUAUAUUAUGCUCUGUUUUAAUCAGUAGUUCAGUAAUAUUUGUAGAUUAAUUUACUUUGUUAAAAGCGAUAGUAGUUCAGCUUAAACAUAUGAUCUUUACCCAAUUUUCAUCUCCAUUAACACCUUGAUUCAUCUGAGUCGUCCUGUUGUAUUUUCAGAUGACACUUCUAAAAGCAACAAGGGUGAAGGUCAGAACAUGCCAAGUAGAGAUACAAGUUCCCUUUAUCAGGAACAAAGAGUACAACCAUGCCAUCUGAGUUCGUCAAUCUAUUAUGGUGGUCAAGACAUCUUUCAUCAUCCCCAGAAUAGCCAGAGCUCUAGUAUGACCUCAAUGUUCAACAAAGAUGGGGCAGAAGAUGACUCUGGAAGUGCUUCAAGAGGAAACUGGUGGCAGGGGUCUCUCUACUACUAAAAUGUCACCUGCCAUGAUAUAUGAUCACCUAGGUAUUUAUUUCUUAAAAGACGCCUGGGAGUAGAUAUUUUUCAAAGGGGUUUGAGACUUCCUUUUUCUUUUUAUAUAUGCCUAAGGUAUAAACAUGCUCGAGCUUCAUAUGUAUGAUGAUGCUCCCACCUCUUCGGUUGGCUUUCUUUUAGUUAUAGAGAUCAUAUAGGUUAAAAGACUUUAUUGAGUUCAUGCCAUUGUUGGGACUGCCAUGUACUUCUUAAUAUUUGUUCUUUAAAUUAUUGAUGAUUAACUUUAUAAUGAUCUCUUGCCAUAUACAUUGGUCGGAGUUUCCUAGUUUUUGCAGUGAGUUGGGCUUUUUGAGGUGUGAUGGAAUAGAAACUGGUCCGCCUAUGCUUCGAAGAUUUUAAUGCUCUGUUUCUGUUGAAUCACAUAACUGGCUAUGAUUAUUAACAGUUAGAAGAAAACGUAAUUGAAGUUAUCUGAUUUGAAGCCACAAGCAGCUGCAUGAAUCCCAUUGGACAUUAUUUUGCUAUUUGUGUAUUACAUAGUUUUUUUCUUUUGAAAAAAAAUGGUCUGUCACAUUCUUUUUUCCCUUCUUUCAUCCUAAGUCCUCAUAACAACUUGUUGCUUUGCAGGUAAUAGAUAAAAUAGGGCAGCACCUCAGUUUACCUUUCUUUACGUGGAAGAUGUGAAGUAGCAGGCAGACCAUAGCAGAUGGGCGGUUUUCCUUCAUCUAAAUUUAUACUAGUAUGAAAAAUUAACAUGCCUGUAUUUUUUUUUUUUUUUAACAUAAAAGAUGUUUGGUUUAGGAGCUUGUGAGGAUGGAUACAUUGCAUGCACUCCCUCUUCUCACCCUUAUCUUACCUAAAACUGUAAAUAUGAACAAGUUUAAAUUUUGGAUAUAUUUGUUCUGCCUCUAAAAUCCCCCUUUGCAGUGAACUUUGUGGUCACUCUGGAAACUGUAAGGUUGGUUCAAAGAAUCCGAAAUUGAAAGAUUUCCAAUUGAGUUUCUUAUAUAUAGGACGAACUUCCAUUAUCAGGAUAGAGCAUAAAGAUUCUUUCACAUAAUCCUCAGUUUGUUUCUGGAAAUUCAAAUGCAUAACUUUUCGUGGAUUUCUACUAUCUUUUGACUCUGACAAAAGUACCCUGUCUAGCGAAGCUACUAAUGCGACGGUGAUAUUUUAAUGCAAGUCUUAUGAGGCUCGUUUUCUUGUGAACAUUGGAAGCCAUGUAGAUGAUAUUUUGUGAGUGGUCAAAACAUUUUGGUCACUGGGAUGCAUGGAUAUCCAAGAAAGCUCCUGGUCGACAUCGUCACGAAGUCUUACCUCAUCUUAGGGCCUCGUUCCACUAACUGGUUGGGACUUGCAGACGGUCUUCGUGGGGCGUGGUCCCGUGUCAGAAUUAUCUUGCACUGUGUUUUCGCGUUCAAACAGUCCUGUCAAUGUCUUAUCGUGAGUUUGACAUCAAAUGCCCUGCUUGCUUUGUAUUCCCUAUCAGAAAUGUGAUCCACAGAUUUGAUGCAGUCCUUUUCCAUGGUCGUGUGGGACGAUGCCUUUCAAAAGUUUGAGAAAGGCUCGGCAGUUGAAGAAGAUUUCUAAGCCGAGCGCAAAAGAUCCUGCAGACAUACUUUUAGUAAAGCUGAAUCUGAUUGCGAUAUUCUUCCAUUUGAAUGUUGCCGACACAUACUAAAGCAUUUGUGGUUUGGAACACCGAGUUCUAAGCUAGUUAACUGUUAGAUUUUUCAAGGAUAAUUAAUGAGAUGUGGUUUCCUGGUACUGGAGUUAUUUUUAGGGUUUCUUGAAGAUAUUAUAAGUGCAGGGAAUAUUAAAAAGAUGGGCAGAUAAAGUUGCUGAACAUUUAUUCAGGAUGGAUACAUUCAAGCUGCUUGCAUUUUAUUAAAAAGAGAAGACUAGUACAAUCUAGUUGCUAGUUGCUAGUUGCUACUAGCCUCUAUACAUGUGGCUACAAGCAUUCAAGUACUUCAUUUUGGGCUUAUUCUGCAGGAUAUCCAAUCAUGGAAGUGUAUAAGCUGAAAAAAAAAAACCCAGCAAUUUUGAGUUUAGCUGAAUAGUGAUCUAUAGGUAGAAAUGAAUGACCAUAAAUAAUUGAGGAAGCAUAAAUGCUACCAACCUCCACACUUGUAACCCACGGGACGGUUAGGAAUGUUGCAUCGCUUGGGGAUGGUAAUGGCAAUUUCAGGCUUGAUUCCAGAUUCCUUGACAGUGUUUGAAAGCAUCACAGCACAAAGACAGCUUGGGUUCUGGCCAAUACUCUUCACCUGAAGGCAGCAGCUAUCUGACACAGCAGCAUUCUCAUUUUGUGCUGCCUCUGCACAAGGAGCUAACUUAAGUGCUUCAUUAUCUGGAGAAGAUUUUCCACAUUCUCCAGCCCCUUGAACCCCUCCAGCAAUGCUCACAAGCACAAACAAGCCCAAAAGGCAGAACAACUUUAGUGAAGCCUCCAUUUAUGUGUAAUAUAAGAAUCCUCUGUGCUAAUUUGGGAUGCAAAAACUCUCCCUCUAUGGACAGCUUUUAUACUGUAAGAAGAGCGACGAAGGCGCUUGCAACUUCUGCCCACUAAUUAUAAUGGAGGUAGCACUAACGAAACAAAUAAGAGACGCACAUAUAUUGUUGCAGCACUUGCUUUAGCAAAUUUGCAGUUGGCAUCAUUUACUACUUCUUUGUCUUAUCAAGGUUGGUGUCUCCACUAAUAUAUCAUCCUGUUCUUUCCAAUUAUAAACAGAUGUUAUCCUCUCAGUGAGGAUGUGUAUUUUAAAAGAGUUCAAUAUCCAGCCAUCACAGUUGUUCUUUAAAACUCCAUUGCCAUAAACAGAAACAGAGAGCUUCUUCCAAUAAAGCUUCCAUUUUGUGAGGAGACGUGUAACCAACUUUGAGCCAACCACCACAGACCUCGCGCUGUUGAGAAAAUAUUUGGGAUUUGGCUACGUUGGGCUCUUGUAAUGCCAAGCUAUUCAUUUCAAGCAUAGAUGAGUAACUGGGGGAGGUGUAUGAGUAACUGGGGGAGGUGUUAGAUGUCUUCUACAAUUACUUUAAUUUUAAUUUAUUUUAUCUUUAUUUUAAAUAAUUU